GAUUGUUUUGAGACCUAGUACGUCGUUCGGCAGUCUGAGGCCAUGAGCAGCUUCGUUUCAAGUGUAUUACUUGUACGUGUGAUCAGAAUUGAAUUUCGGGAAGUUCGAAGUUGAUUUAGGAAGAGAAUUCUCAUUUCGGAAGCUUAAAGUUGAAAGAAUUAACAAGGACAGGAUUUUUGUAUAAAUGACAUCAGAAUCGGGAUAUGAAGGUUUCAGCAGGUUUGUAUGAUGAUUUCGGACUUCGGCGUAUGCUCGGAUCGGGUCUUGGAUAACCCGGGAGAGUUUUGGGGCCUAUUGUGGAAGUUAGCAUUUUGGAAGAGAUUUCAUAAGUUUGGCUUGAAGUGCAUUUCAGUGUUAUCGAUGUCCGUUUGAGAUUCUGAGUCUGUGAACAGCUCUGUAUGGUGAGUGUGGAGUUGGGAGGGAGAUCAGAAGUGAAUUCGGAGGUCUGUAGGUCAUUUUGAAGUCAUUUGGCUAAAGAAAGAAAUUUGAAGGCUUUUGAGAAGUUUGACUGGAAGUGGACUUUUUGAUACCAGGGUCAAAAUCUGAUUUCGGAAGUUGGAGUAUGUCCGUAAUGUCUAAUAUGACUUGCGUGCAUAAUUUGAAGUCAAUCGGACGUGAUUUGAUAGGUUUUAACAUCGAAAAUAGAAGUUUGAAAUUCUAAAGUUCAUUAUUAAACUUGGAUUGGAGGUCGAUUCGUGGUUUUAGCGUUGUUUGAUAUAAUUUGAGACUUAGAGCAAGUACACAAUGUGUUUUGGGACUGGUUAGCAUGAUUGGUUAUGGUCUGGGGGACCUCGGGUGGAUUCCGGUUGAUUAACGGAUCGAAAAUGGAAUUUUUGGAAAGCUGAACUUGCUGGUUGCUGUCAUAACUGCAGAUGCGGUCAUUUUUCCGCAGAUGCGGGACCCCGAUCAUUUUUUUGCAAAUGCAAUCAUUUUUCUACAGAUGCAGGACCGCAUGCGGUCAUUUUUCCGCAGAUGCGAAAAAUGCUGCUGGCAGUGGGGUUGUUUUAAAGUCAGAUUUGGCCAUUUUUCUCUUGGUAUGGGUGAUUUUGGAGAACUUCAGGUGGGGUUUUUCGUCAUCAACGGCAAGGUAAGCUAACCCCACCUAUCUUGAGUUGAAUAUAUUAAUUUUUAUGGAUUUACAUGUAAAUUGGUAGAAAUUGAGGGUUUAAGGAAAACCUAGAAAAAAUUAGUAUUCUUGAAUUUUGACCAUGAUUUUGGGUAUGGAAUUCAGAGAAAAUUAUAUACUGAGUUUGUGAGGCUACGGGUAAGCUUAUUCUUCAAAUAUUUUGGAUAUCUGGGCACGUGGGCCCGA
RNAcentral lists this long non-coding RNA (1312 nucleotides) under Nicotiana benthamiana. RNAcentral's name for it is "long non-coding RNA (NBEN_LNC015006)". Lineage: Eukaryota; Viridiplantae; Streptophyta; Magnoliopsida; Solanales; Solanaceae. The record is from RNAcentral.